ACGAUGGUCCGUGCUGAGUUCCUGGGGCUGCUACUGCUCUGGUUUUUAGGUGUGAGAUGUGAUAUCCAGAUGACCCAGUCACCAUCCACGCUGUCUGCAUCUCUGGGAGAAAGUGUCACCAUCACUUGUCAUGCCAGCCAGAAUAUUAACAGUUGGUUAUCCUGGCACCAACAGAAACCAGGGCAUGCUCCUAAUCUCUUGAUCUAUAAAACAUCCAACUUGCAUACGGGAGUCCCAUCGAGGUUCAGUGGCAGUGGAUCAGGGACUCAUUAUUCUCUCACCAUCAGCAACUUGCAGCCUGAAGAUACUGCCACUUAUUAUUGUCAGCAGGAUCAAAGUGUUCCUUUCACAGUGAUACAAGUCAUAACAAAAACCUCCCACAAGUGCAAUGGAGUAAGAAAAAGUUGCCUCAGAUGCUCCUUGUAG
This is a non-coding RNA of Microtus oregoni (creeping vole), 426 nucleotides long. The record is from the annotation of a RefSeq genome assembly. Lineage: Eukaryota; Metazoa; Chordata; Mammalia; Rodentia; Cricetidae.